GGUGACUCGUGUUCUCCCAACUUGGGCUUUAGGCAUGAUACGUGGAAGAUAGGGUGAAUUUUGGCAUCCUCAGGUAAUUUAAGUCUGUACGCCACGGCUCCAAUACGCUUUGUGAUCUGAUAGGGCCCAUAAAAACGUGGGGAUAGCUUCAUGGAGGCUCGAGUGUUGAUAGAGAGUUGCUUGUAUGGUUGUAGGUGAAGAUAAACCCAAUCUCC
This 215-nucleotide long non-coding RNA is filed under the name Musa acuminata (dwarf banana). RNAcentral's name for it is "long non-coding RNA (MACU_LNC010252)". The record is from RNAcentral. Lineage: Eukaryota; Viridiplantae; Streptophyta; Magnoliopsida; Zingiberales; Musaceae.